CCAAAAGCUGGCGACCGGCGCACGGGUGAGUAACAGGUAUCCAACCUGCCUCAUACUCGGGGAUAGCCUUUCGAAAGAGAGAUUAAUAUCCGAUAGCAUAUAUUUCCCGCAUGGGUUUUAUAUUAAAGAAAUUCGGUAUGAGAUGGGGAUGCGUUCCAUUAGUUUGUUGGGGGGGUAACGGCCCACCAAGACUACGAUGGAUAGGGGUUCUGAGAGGAAGGUCCCCCACAUUGGAACUGAGACACGGUCCAA
RNAcentral lists this ribosomal RNA (252 nucleotides) under uncultured bacterium. RNAcentral describes it as "partial 16S ribosomal RNA". It matches the Rfam family "Bacterial small subunit ribosomal RNA", at positions 80 to 334 of the family's 1533-position model. The record is from RNAcentral.